Molecule: long non-coding RNA, 1530 nt
Filed under: Homo sapiens (human)
Lineage: Eukaryota; Metazoa; Chordata; Mammalia; Primates; Hominidae
Description: long non-coding RNA NONHSAT103114.2
Source: RNAcentral
AGGGGAGGCUGGAGGCAGGCGGAGAGGGCCCGCAGGAGAUAGAAAAAACUGGAGGCGCCCACCGAUACCCUCUCUCCUGGAGCCCGGGGCGCGCACCAACUCUUAGGCUAACCCCUCGGCCUCCCGCCUCUCUCUUCCCAACUUCCACUCCAGCCCAGUGAAAAACCUGUGACUUUAGAUGCAAUCGGUACUAUUAAUAAAUAGCACCUAGGAGGGCACCGAGACCGGCACACAGCUGGAAGCUAGCCUCUGUCCCAGAGAAAGCAGUGCGGUAUGGGCCUAGCGGGGCCGACUUCUGUGCACAGGCCGGGAAGCAAUAAAGGUUCGGAACUGCUCCAGACCCGGAGGACCCCGCCGGGCACUCUGGAUAACCUCCCCACUCCACUUCCAGGGUCCGAAAACACGGGACGUCUGCGACUGGCCGGUGUCCAGCACGCGCACUAGGACCGCCCCCGGCGCCCACCUCUAGUCUCCCGCAUACCCGGCGGGCUUCGGGACGCCUACAAAUCGGUUCCAGGUAAUCGCGCGCGUUCCUCCGGCAGCACAUCGCCAGGCCGCGGGCGAAGGGCUCCCACCUCCUGGCUCGGCCAACUCUGGCAGCUUGUUCUGCACACAUGACGUAACCCGGCAUUAGAUCAAACUUUCUGGCACCUUGAACCCACUGGGGUGGGUGGAGGGAUGGAGAAGAUGGGAGAAUCCUCUCCACUGCCAGGCGCGCCGGGCCCAGACUGACUCAGGGGCCGAAUGAUUUCCUCGCAGUUGAAGAGGAAAAUAAAAACCUAAAGCUUCCGCUUCCCAGCCCCCCUCACUUCCCCCAGCCCGUGCGCUCUCUCUGCGCGCACCGGGAAAAGAGAAGGGAAAAUUAAAAUUAAAAAAAAAAAAAAAAAAAAAAAAACUUUGGGGGAUGUUUGGCGGGUUCUCUCCGCAGUCCCUGCGGACCCACGCUCCAGGAAGGAGCUCCCGGCUGCGCACACUGGGGGCUCCCCGCGCCGGGAACCGGAUGCCAGCCAGAUGCCGGGGCUGGGAAGCAGAGAAGUCCCUACUCCCCGGCUCCCGCCCUUUUCCGAGUCUCCCGGCGCCCCGCAGAAGCAGUUGGUCUAGGCAGCCCCGGGGACUCCCAGGGGUACCUGGCCUUUCCGCGGCGGCUUAACAAAGAGGGGCGCGACGCGAGCGCUUCCCGCCGACGCCUCAAGCCAUCAGCGCCCGGGCGACGCAGGCUCCGAGGGUGCGCGCCGCCAGCGGUUGGUGCGCGCCGAUCCCCGCCGCCGCUCCUUCCGCAGGGCCCCGAGGCCCGGGUAGCCCUGGCUCUCCGCCUGUUAUCGGCUUACCUGGGGUUGCUGCUGUUCCAGUAGACAGCGUAGCGGUCGGCGACGGCCUUGGAGCCCGGGUCCUGGCUGAACACACACAUCCAGAGCACCAGAAACACCAGCGUCAACAUCUCCACGUGCAACAUCACGCCUGGCCAGCGGCGGAGCCCCCGACGCGCCACUCCGGGGAGAGAGCGGGGAUCCGGAGGGAGGGAGGCAGGCA